CCGAGGUGGUUGGCGGUGGUUGGAGGUGAUCGAGCUGGACGAGGUGAAGGACGAGGAUUCGUGCUCGUUCUGUGCCCCACCUAGUGAUCCACUAGUAC
Molecule: long non-coding RNA, 98 nt
Organism: Neodiprion fabricii
Lineage: Eukaryota; Metazoa; Arthropoda; Insecta; Hymenoptera; Diprionidae
Exons: 3
Source: RefSeq, a predicted model, not a curated record